CUCCUCUCCCAGCACCUGCGCGCCCUCACUGGGCUUCCAGGGGGCGGGGGAAAAGCUUUCUCACCGCCCUACGGGUUCCUCCUUUUCUGACCUGGGGAGGCGCAGGGCUGGGAACGGGGCUGCGUUGAAGCUUCUGGUCUUCCCGGCUGCCUGGGCAGCCUGUUUGGCGCCCAGGAAGUUACAGUACUUGCAGAGGAAGCACUAGGGAAUACCGGGGCCUCACUCCGGACCCCCAAGUCCAAACCAGCACCACAGAGCGGAAGCCAGUUGUAACUGGGAAAAAGCAAAGCUGCUAAGAUGGAGUUUCCCAGGCUGGAGUGCAGUGGCAAGAUCUCAGCUUACUUCAACCUCCAUCUCCUGGGUUCAAGUGAUUCUCCUGCCUCAGCCUCCCAAGUAGCUGGGAUUACAGGGAAUAACAGACAAAUUGGAAAUCUCAGAGGCCUUCCCAGAUCUGGGUGAUCAGAAGCUGACGUGGCAGAUGAGCAUCUAAGAUGGAGUUGCUUCAGCCUGCACAGGGUAUAUACGCAGAAGUGGAGUUUCUGAACCUUGUGGUAAUUCACAUUUUAAUUGAUUGAUUUUCAUAUGCUAUACCAUCCUUGUAUUCCUGGAAUAAAUUCCAUUUUCUCGUGGGGUAUUAUCCUUUCAAUAUUGUGUUGAAUUUUGUUUGUUAGUAUUCAUUUUUGAGUAUUUUUUACGCUGAUAUUUAUAAGGGUUAUUGGUCAGUAGUUUUCUUGUAUUGUCUUUGUCUGGCUUUGACUUUAAGGGUAAUGCUAGUCUCCCAGAAUGAUUUGGGAAGUGUUCUCUCACCUUCAAUGUUUAGCUUAUCCAAUUUGUUGGGAUAAUAGUUGGUCAUAGUACUCUGCUAUAAAUCCUCUUAUUUUUGUAAAAUCAGUUCUUAUGU
Long non-coding RNA from Callithrix jacchus (white-tufted-ear marmoset), 901 nucleotides. RefSeq lists it as uncharacterized. NCBI's taxonomy places the organism in Eukaryota, Metazoa, Chordata, Mammalia, Primates, Cebidae. The record is from RefSeq and is a predicted model, not a curated record.